Molecule: ribosomal RNA, 329 nt
Filed under: uncultured eukaryote
Lineage: Eukaryota
Description: partial 18S ribosomal RNA
Rfam family: Eukaryotic small subunit ribosomal RNA
Source: RNAcentral
CCCUUAGAUGUUCUGGGCCGCACGCGCGCUACACUGACGCAUUCAACGAGUCUAAAACCUGCUCUGAUAGGGGUGGGUAAUCUUUUGAAUGUGCAUCGUGAUUGGGAUAGAUGAUUGCAAUUUUUCAUCUUCAACGAGGAAUGCCUAGUAAACGCAAGUCAUCAGCUUGCAUUGAUUACGUCCCUGCCCUUUGUACACACCGCCCGUCGCUCCUACCGAUUGAAUGAUCCGAUGAAUAUCAUGGAUUGAGGAUGCAAGCAGGUUCGCCUGUCUUCAUCUUCGAGAAGUGAAGUAAAUCUUAUCAUUUAGAGGAAGGAGAAGUCGUAACA